UUACGAACACCUGACCUGCAGUGCAGCAGAAUUCAGAGAGAUGUAACUUAACGUACUCCAGAGACGCACUAACUUGCACAGCAUUGAAUGGAAAAGGCUUUUUCCAUGUCCAGUUGAGGGCAUCAAGAACACGCAGAUGGCCUAAACCUGUGUCAGACUGGACAGACUGCUGAUCUGCUACUC
Non-coding RNA from Danio rerio (zebrafish), 183 nucleotides. NCBI's taxonomy places the organism in Eukaryota, Metazoa, Chordata, Actinopteri, Cypriniformes, Danionidae. The record is from RefSeq and is a predicted model, not a curated record.